GACGAACGCUGGCGGCGUGCUUAACACAUGCAAGUCGAACGUGAUUUUUGUGGAAAUUCUUUCGGGAAUGGAAAUGAAAUGAAAGUGGCGAACGGGUGAGUAACACGUGAGCAACCUACCUUACACAGGGGGAUAGCCGUUGGAAACGACGAUUAAUACCGCAUGAGACCACAGAAUCGCAUGAUAUAGGGGUCAAAGAUUUAUCGGUGUAAGAAGGGCUCGCGUCUGAUUAGCUAGUUGGAAGGGUAAAGGCCUACCAAGGCGACGAUCAGUAGCCGGUCUGAGAGGAUGAACGGCCACAUUGGAACUGAGACACGGUCCAAACUCCUACGGGAGGCAGCAGUGGGGAAUAUUGCACAAUGGGGGGAACCCUGAUGCAGCGACGCCGCGUGAGCGAAGAAGGUUUUCGAAUCGUAAAGCUCUGUCCUAUGAGAAGAUAAUGACGGUAUCAUAGGAGGAAGCCCCGGCUAAAUACGUGCCAGCAGCCGCGGUAAUACGUAUGGGGCGAGCGUUGUCCGGAAUUAUUGGGCGUAAAGGGUGCGUAGGCGGUUUUUUAAGUCAGGUGUGAAAGCGUGAGGCUUAACCUCAUUAAGCACUUGAAACUGGAAGACUUGAGUGAAGGAGAGGAAAGUGGAAUUCCUAGUGUAGCGGUGAAAUGCGUAGAUAUUAGGAGGAAUACCGGUGGCGAAGGCGACUUUCUGGACUUUUACUGACGCUCAGGUACGAAAGCGUGGGGAGCAAACAGG
This 746-nucleotide ribosomal RNA is filed under the name uncultured Parvimonas sp. RNAcentral describes it as "bacterial SSU rRNA". It matches the Rfam family "Bacterial small subunit ribosomal RNA", at positions 28 to 776 of the family's 1533-position model. Lineage: Bacteria; Bacillati; Bacillota; Tissierellia; Tissierellales; Peptoniphilaceae. The record is from RNAcentral.